UACUCGAGUGGCGAACGGGUGAGUAACACGCGGGUGAUCUGCCCUGCACUUCGGGAUAAGCUUGGGAAACUGGGUCUAAUACCGGAUAGGAACCAUCUUUAGUGUGGUGGUUGGAAAGUUUUUUCGGUGUAGGAUGAGCUCGCGGCCUAUCAGCUUGUUGGUGGGGUAAUGGCCUACCAAGGCUGCGACGGGUAGCCGGCCUGAGAGGGUGUACGGCCACAUUGGGACUGAGAUACGGCCCAG
Molecule: ribosomal RNA, 243 nt
Filed under: uncultured Actinomycetales bacterium
Lineage: Bacteria; Bacillati; Actinomycetota; Actinomycetes; Actinomycetales
Description: partial 16S ribosomal RNA
Rfam family: Bacterial small subunit ribosomal RNA
Source: RNAcentral